GAGUUUGAUCCCGGGUUCAGGGCAAACCGCUGGCGGCGUGCAUAACACAUGCAAGUUGAACGAGAAGGAUAAACAUUGAAGCUUCGGCUGAUUUGUUCUUCCUGAAAGUAGCGGAUGGGUGAGUAACACGUGAGGAACCUGCCCUUCACAAAGGGAUAGCAGCUGGAAACGGCUAUUAAUACCUUAUGAUACCGAUGUAUCGCAUGAUACGACGGUUAAAGAUUUAUCGGUGAAAGAUGGCCUUGCGCCUGAUUAGCUAGUUGGUGAGGUAAUGGCUCACCAAGGCGACGAUCAGUAGCCGGCUUGAGAGAGUGAACGGCCACACUGGGACUGAGACACGGCCCAGACUCCUACGGGAGGCAGCAGUGGGGAAUUUUGCACAAUGGAGGAAACUCUGAUGCAGCGACGCCGCGUGAGCGAAGAAGGCCUUCGGGUUGUAAACCUCUAUCCUUGGUGAAGAUAAUGACGGUAGCCAAGAAGGAAGCCCCGGCUAACUACGUGCCAGCAGCCGCGGUAAUACGUAGGGGGCAAGCGUUGUCCGGAAUGAUUGGGCGUAAAGGGCUCGUAGGCGGCUAAUCAAGUCUGGAGUGAAAGUCCUGCUUUUAAGGUGGGAAUUGCUUUGGAAACUGAAUAGCUUGAGUGUAGGAGAGGUUAGUGGAAUUCCCAGUGUAGCGGUGAAAUGCGUAGAGAUUGGGAGGAACACCAGUGGCGAAGGCGACUAACUGGACUAUAACUGACGCUGAGGAGCGAAAGUGUGGGUAGCAAACAGGAUUAGAUACCCUGGUAGUCCACACUGUAAACGAUGAAUGCUAGGUGUAGGUGGUAUCGACCCCCAUCUGUGCCGCAGUAAACACAAUAAGCAUUCCG
RNAcentral lists this ribosomal RNA (867 nucleotides) under uncultured bacterium. RNAcentral describes it as "bacterial SSU rRNA". It matches the Rfam family "Bacterial small subunit ribosomal RNA", at positions 9 to 871 of the family's 1533-position model. The record is from RNAcentral.